GCUUGAGAGAACUCGGGUGAAGGAACUAGGCAAAAUGGUACCGUAACUUCGGGAGAAGGUACGCCCUUUCUGGUGAUGGGAUUUACUUUCAGAGCUGGAGAGGGCCGCAGAGACCAGGUGGCUGCGACUGUUUAUUAAAAACACAGCACUCUGCAAAUUCGUAAGAAGACGUAUAGGGUGUGACGCCUGCCCGGUGCCGGAAGGUUAAUUGAUGGGGUUAUCUUCGGAGAAGCUCUUGAUCGAAGCCCCGGUAAACGGCGGCCGUAACUAUAACGGUCCUAAGGUAGCGAAAUUCCUUGUCGGGUAAGUUCCGACCUGCACGAAUGGCGUAACGAUGGCCACACUGUCUCCACCCGAGACUCAGUGAAAUUGAAAUCGCUGUGAAGAUGCAGUGUACCCGCGGCUAGACGGAAAGACCCCGUGAACCUUUACUAUAGUUUUGCACUGGACUUUGAUGAUGACUGUGUAGGAUAGGUGGGAGGCUGUGAAGUGAGGACGCUAGUUCUCAUGGAGCCGCCCUUGAAAUACCACCCUGUUGUUAUUGAGGUUCUAACUUGGUCCAGUAAUCCUGGAUGAGGACAGUGUAUGAUGGGUAGUUUGACUGGGGCGGUCUCCUCCCAAAGAGUAACGGAGGAGCACAAAGGUACCCUCGGUACGGUCGGACAUCGUACCAAGAGUGUAAAGGCAAAAGGGUGCUUGACUGCGAGAGUGACGGCUCGAGCAGGAACGAAAGUUGGUCUUAGUGAUCCGGUGGUUCUGAAUGGAAGGGCCAUCGCUCAACGGAUAAAAGGUACUCCGGGGAUAACAGGCUGAUACCGCCCAAGAGUUCAUAUCGACGGCGGUGUUUGGCACCUCGAUGUCGGCUCAUCACAUCCUGGGGCUGAAGCAGGUCCCAAGGGUAUGGCUGUUCGCCAUUUAAAGUGGUACGCGAGCUGGGUUUAGAACGUCGUGAGACAGUUCGGUCCCUAUCUGCCGUGGGCGUAGGAAAAUUGAGAGGAGCUGCUCCUAGUACGAGAGGACCGGAGUGGACGAACCUCUGGUGCACCGGUUGUCACGCCAGUGGCAUGGCCGGGUAGCUAAGUUCGGACGGGAUAACCGCUGAAAGCAUCUAAGCGGGAAGCCUCCCUCAAGAUGAGUUUUCCCAUGAAGCCCGUUGAAGACUACGACGUUGAUAGGCAAGGUGUGGAAGCGCAGUAAUGCGUGAAGCUAACUUGUACUAAUUGGCUGAUUGUCUUGACCAU
Molecule: ribosomal RNA, 1241 nt
Filed under: Legionella pneumophila
Lineage: Bacteria; Pseudomonadati; Pseudomonadota; Gammaproteobacteria; Legionellales; Legionellaceae
Description: bacterial LSU rRNA
Rfam family: Bacterial large subunit ribosomal RNA
Source: RNAcentral